GACGAACGCUGGCGGCGUGCUUAACACAUGCAAGUCGAACGGAAAGGCCCUGCUUUUGUGGGGUGCUCGAGUGGCGAACGGGUGAGUAACACGUGAGUAACCUGCCCUUGACUUUGGGAUAACUUCAGGAAACUGGGGCUAAUACCGGAUAGGAGCUCCUGCUGCAUGGUGGGGGUUGGAAAGUUUCGGCGGUUGGGGAUGGACUCGCGGCUUAUCAGCUUGUUGGUGGGGUAGUGGCUUACCAAGGCUUUGAAGGGUAGCCGGCCUGAGAGGGUGACCGGGCACCAUGGGACUGAGGGACGGCCCAGACUCCUACGGGAGGCAGCAGUGGGGAAUAUUGCACAAUGGGCGGAAGCCUGAUGCAGCAACGCCGCGUGUGGGAUGACGGCCUUCGGGUUGUAAACCGCUUUCGCCUGUGACGAAGCGUGAGUGACGGUAAUGGGUAAAGAAGCACCGGCUAACUACGUG
This 468-nucleotide ribosomal RNA is filed under the name uncultured bacterium. RNAcentral's name for it is "partial 16S ribosomal RNA". It matches the Rfam family "Bacterial small subunit ribosomal RNA", at positions 28 to 507 of the family's 1533-position model. The record is from RNAcentral.